GAUCCUGGCUCAAGACGAACGCUGGCGGCGCGCCUAACACAUGCAAGUCGAACGAGCGAGAGAGAGCUUGCUUUCUCGAGCGAGUGGCGAACGGGUGAGUAACGCGUGAGGAACCUGCCUCAAAGAGGGGGACAACAGUUGGAAACGACUGCUAAUACCGCAUAAGCCCACGACCCGGCAUCGGGUAGAGGGAAAAGGAGAAAUCCGCUUUGAGAUGGCCUCGCGUCCGAUUAGCUAGUUGGUGAGG
This 247-nucleotide ribosomal RNA is filed under the name uncultured bacterium. RNAcentral's name for it is "partial 16S ribosomal RNA". It matches the Rfam family "Bacterial small subunit ribosomal RNA", at positions 15 to 257 of the family's 1533-position model. The record is from RNAcentral.